This 447-nucleotide ribosomal RNA is filed under the name uncultured bacterium. Its description in RNAcentral is "bacterial SSU rRNA". It matches the Rfam family "Bacterial small subunit ribosomal RNA", at positions 355 to 825 of the family's 1533-position model. The record is from RNAcentral.
UCGGGAAUUUUGGGCAAUGGGCGAAAGCCUGACCCAGCAACGCCGCGUGAAGGAUGAAGUCUCUCGGGAUGUAAACUUCGUAAGAAUAGGAAGAAUAAAUGACGGUACUAUUUGUAAGGUCCGGCUAACUACGUGCCAGCAGCCGCGGUAAUACGUAGGGACCAAGCGUUGUUCGGAUUUACUGGGCGUAAAGGGCGCGUAGGCGGCGUGGUAAGUCACUUGUGAAAUCUCCGAGCUUAACUCGGAACGGUCAAGUGAUACUGCUGUGCUAGAGUACAGAAGGGGCAAUCGGAAUUCUUGGUGUAGCGGUGAAAUGCGUAGAUAUCAAGAGGAACACCUGAGGUGAAGACGGGUUGCUGGGCUGAUACUGACGCUGAGGCGCGAAAGCGUGGGGAGCAAACAGGAUUAGAUACCCGGGUAGUCCCUGAGCGGGCUGGCAAGGCGCAU